RNAcentral lists this ribosomal RNA (360 nucleotides) under uncultured bacterium. Its description in RNAcentral is "bacterial SSU rRNA". It matches the Rfam family "Bacterial small subunit ribosomal RNA", at positions 28 to 389 of the family's 1533-position model. The record is from RNAcentral.
GACGAACGCUGGCGGCGUGCUUAACACAUGCAAGUCGAGCGGUAAGGCCCUUCGGGGUACGACGAGCGGCGAACGGGUGAGUAACACGUGGGUGACCUGCCUCUAGCUCUGGGAUAAGCCUGGGAAACUGGGUCUAAUACCGGAUAUGACUCCACGGCGCAUGUUGUGGGGUGGAAAGCCUUGUGUGGCUAGAGAUGGGCCCGCGGCCUAUCAGCUUGUUGGUGGGGUGAUGGCCUACCAAGGCGACGACGGGUAGCCGGCCUGAGAGGGCGACCGGCCACACUGGGACUGAGACACGGCCCAGACUCCUACGGGAGGCAGCAGUGGGGAAUCUUGCGCAAGUGGGCGAAAGCCUGACGC